AAAUGUUGUGAUUCAAUAACAUCUUAUACCUUUACCACAAGUGGGAGGGUGAAAAAUUUAAUGGGUUUUAUAGGGAUUGCCAAUUUCCCACAAAAGUCAUGAAACAGCUAUAGGCAGAUUCAAUAGUGGAUAAAAAGAGUCAAACAAUUGAUGAACAAAGGGACCCAUUGUUUUUCAGACAUGAAAGGGAACGACAAGAGAGUCAGCAGCAGCUUUUUGGUGCGUCUCUUUCCCGCUCCCAAACUCAGAAAAGUGGAAAGGGACGAGCCUUAUAUCCACAUCCACAUGUUGUAGGCUCAACUCAUGGGGCUAAAAGCAUGCAUGCCAGACAGACAGGUUCCAUUCAUGUGGUGCUCAAGGAAGGGAAACAGCUUCAGCCAGCCAUAGUUUGCAUUUUGGCGAUGCCAGCUUUAAAGACUGGUGCAAAAAAUUGACAAGUCAGGGGAGAUGGAGGGAUAUGGUCUGUUUUUUACAUUAAAGUCAAAACAAA
This is a long non-coding RNA of Gossypium arboreum, 490 nucleotides long. RefSeq lists it as uncharacterized. The transcript has 2 exons. The record is from RefSeq and is a predicted model, not a curated record. NCBI's taxonomy places the organism in Eukaryota, Viridiplantae, Streptophyta, Magnoliopsida, Malvales, Malvaceae.